This 1695-nucleotide ribosomal RNA is filed under the name Salmonella enterica subsp. enterica serovar Thompson. RNAcentral's name for it is "partial 23S ribosomal RNA". It matches the Rfam family "Bacterial large subunit ribosomal RNA", at positions 1252 to 2925 of the family's 2925-position model. RNAcentral also lists the same sequence under 2 other names. Lineage: Bacteria; Pseudomonadati; Pseudomonadota; Gammaproteobacteria; Enterobacterales; Enterobacteriaceae. The record is from RNAcentral.
GAAGGUGGCCUGUGAGGGUUGCUGGAGGUAUCAGAAGUGCGAAUGCUGACAUAAGUAACGAUAAAGCGGGUGAAAAGCCCGCUCGCCGGAAGACCAAGGGUUCCUGUCCAACGUUAAUCGGGGCAGGGUGAGUCGACCCCUAAGGCGAGGCCGAAAGGCGUAGUCGAUGGGAAACAGGUUAAUAUUCCUGUACUUGGUGUUACUGCGAAGGGGGGACGGAGAAGGCUAUGUUGGCCGGGCGACGGUUGUCCCGGUUUAAGCGUGUAGGUGUGUGUUCCAGGUAAAUCCGGUUCACUUUAACACUGAGGCGUGAUGACGAGGCACUACGGUGCUGAAGCAACAAAUGCCCUGCUUCCAGGAAAAGCCUCUAAGCAUCAGGUAACAUCAAAUCGUACCCCAAACCGACACAGGUGGUCAGGUAGAGAAUACCAAGGCGCUUGAGAGAACUCGGGUGAAGGAACUAGGCAAAAUGGUGCCGUAACUUCGGGAGAAGGCACGCUGACACGUAGGUGAAGUGAUUUACUCAUGGAGCUGAAGUCAGUCGAAGAUACCAGCUGGCUGCAACUGUUUAUUAAAAACACAGCACUGUGCAAACACGAAAGUGGACGUAUACGGUGUGACGCCUGCCCGGUGCCGGAAGGUUAAUUGAUGGGGUCAGCGCAAGCGAAGCUCCUGAUCGAAGCCCCGGUAAACGGCGGCCGUAACUAUAACGGUCCUAAGGUAGCGAAAUUCCUUGUCGGGUAAGUUCCGACCUGCACGAAUGGCGUAAUGAUGGCCAGGCUGUCUCCACCCGAGACUCAGUGAAAUUGAACUCGCUGUGAAGAUGCAGUGUACCCGCGGCAAGACGGAAAGACCCCGUGAACCUUUACUAUAGCUUGACACUGAACAUUGAGCCUUGAUGUGUAGGAUAGGUGGGAGGCUUUGAAGCGUGGACGCCAGUCUGCGUGGAGCCGACCUUGAAAUACCACCCUUUAAUGUUUGAUGUUCUAACGUGGACCCGUAAUCCGGGUUGCGGACAGUGUCUGGUGGGUAGUUUGACUGGGGCGGUCUCCUCCUAAAGAGUAACGGAGGAGCACGAAGGUUGGCUAAUCCUGGUCGGACAUCAGGAGGUUAGUGCAAUGGCAUAAGCCAGCUUGACUGCGAGCGUGACGGCGCGAGCAGGUGCGAAAGCAGGUCAUAGUGAUCCGGUGGUUCUGAAUGGAAGGGCCAUCGCUCAACGGAUAAAAGGUACUCCGGGGAUAACAGGCUGAUACCGCCCAAGAGUUCAUAUCGACGGCGGUGUUUGGCACCUCGAUGUCGGCUCAUCACAUCCUGGGGCUGAAGUAGGUCCCAAGGGUAUGGCUGUUCGCCAUUUAAAGUGGUACGCGAGCUGGGUUUAGAACGUCGUGAGACAGUUCGGUCCCUAUCUGCCGUGGGCGCUGGAGAACUGAGGGGGGCUGCUCCUAGUACGAGAGGACCGGAGUGGACGCAUCACUGGUGUUCGGGUUGUCAUGCCAAUGGCACUGCCCGGUAGCUAAAUGCGGAAGAGAUAAGUGCUGAAAGCAUCUAAGCACGAAACUUGCCCCGAGAUGAGUUCUCCCUGAGACUUAGAGUCUCCUGAAGGAACGUUGAAGACGACGACGUUGAUAGGCCGGGUGUGUAAGCGCAGCGAUGCGUUGAGCUAACCGGUACUAAUGAACCGUGAGGCUUAACCUU